RNAcentral lists this ribosomal RNA (839 nucleotides) under bacterium. Its description in RNAcentral is "bacterial SSU rRNA". It matches the Rfam family "Bacterial small subunit ribosomal RNA", at positions 69 to 891 of the family's 1533-position model. The record is from RNAcentral.
ACAGAAGGGAGCUUGCUCCCGGAUGUUAGCGGCGGACGGGUGAGUAACACGUGGGUAACCUGCCUGUAAGACUGGGAUAACUCCGGGAAACCGGAGCUAAUACCGGAUAGUUCCUUGAACCGCAUGGUUCAAGGAUGAAAGACGGUUUCGGCUGUCACUUACAGAUGGACCCGCGGCGCAUUAGCUAGUUGGUGAGGUAACGGCUCACCAAGGCGACGAUGCGUAGCCGACCUGAGAGGGUGAUCGGCCACACUGGGACUGAGACACGGCCCAGACUCCUACGGGAGGCAGCAGUAGGGAAUCUUCCGCAAUGGACGAAAGUCUGACGGAGCAACGCCGCGUGAGUGAUGAAGGUUUUCGGAUCGUAAAGCUCUGUUGUUAGGGAAGAACAAGUGCAAGAGUAACUGCUUGCACCUUGACGGUACCUAACCAGAAAGCCACGGCUAACUACGUGCCAGCAGCCGCGGUAAUACGUAGGUGGCAAGCGUUGUCCGGAAUUAUUGGGCGUAAAGGGCUCGCAGGCGGUUUCUUAAGUCUGAUGUGAAAGCCCCCGGCUCAACCGGGGAGGGUCAUUGGAAACUGGGAAACUUGAGUGCAGAAGAGGAGAGUGGAAUUCCACGUGUAGCGGUGAAAUGCGUAGAGAUGUGGAGGAACACCAGUGGCGAAGGCGACUCUCUGGUCUGUAACUGACGCUGAGGAGCGAAAGCGUGGGGAGCGAACAGGAUUAGAUACCCUGGUAGUCCACGCCGUAAACGAUGAGUGCUAAGUGUUAGGGGGUUUCCGCCCCUUAGUGCUGCAGCUAACGCAUUAAGCACUCCGCCUGGGGAGUACGGUCGCAA